RNAcentral lists this ribosomal RNA (496 nucleotides) under Diasporus vocator (Agua Buena robber frog). RNAcentral describes it as "partial 16S ribosomal RNA". It matches the Rfam family "Bacterial large subunit ribosomal RNA", at positions 1836 to 2597 of the family's 2925-position model. The record is from RNAcentral. Lineage: Eukaryota; Metazoa; Chordata; Amphibia; Anura; Eleutherodactylidae.
CGCCUCCUGAUAGAAGGUACAGCCUGCCCAGUGACGUUUAACGGCCGCGGUAUCCUAACCGUGCGAAGGUAGCGUAAUCACCUGUUUUUUAAUUAAAGACCCGUAUCAAAGGCACCACGAGAGUCACACUGUCUCCUUUUUCCAAUCAGUGAAACUAAUCUCCUUGUGAAAAAGCAAGGAUGAACCUACAAGACGAGAAGACCCUUUGGAGCUUCAGACAGUAUGAUGACCCCAACUCAUCAUUAGUCUUCGGUUGGGGCAACCACGGAGGAAAAAAUAACCUCCGAGAUGAAAGCAAAAACCACAAUUUUAACUAUCAAUAUUGACAUAAUUGACCCAAUACAUUGACCAACGAACCAAGUUACCCAAGGGAUAACAGCGCAAUCCACUUUAAGAGUCCAUAUCGACAAGUGGGCUUACGACCUCGAUGUUGGAUCAAGAUACCCAUGUGGUGCAGCCGCUACUGAUGGUUCGUUUGUUCAACGAUUAAAAUCUC